This is an unclassified non-coding RNA of Macaca fascicularis (crab-eating macaque), 148 nucleotides long. It matches the Rfam family "Metazoan signal recognition particle RNA". Rfam says of the family: The signal recognition particle (SRP) is a universally conserved ribonucleoprotein. Lineage: Eukaryota; Metazoa; Chordata; Mammalia; Primates; Cercopithecidae. The record is from Ensembl.
GCCAGGCAUGGUGGUGCAUGCCUGUAAUCCCAGCUACUCGGGAGGCUGAGGCAGCAGAAUCACUUGAACCCAGGAGACGGGGGUUGCAGUGAGCCGAGAUGGCAUCACUGCACUCCAACCUGGGUGACAGAGUGAGCCUCUGUCUCAA